RNAcentral lists this ribosomal RNA (497 nucleotides) under uncultured bacterium. RNAcentral describes it as "partial 16S ribosomal RNA". It matches the Rfam family "Bacterial small subunit ribosomal RNA", at positions 28 to 507 of the family's 1533-position model. The record is from RNAcentral.
GAUGAACGCUGGCGGCGUGCCUAAUACAUGCAAGUCGAGCGAACGGACGAGAAGCUUGCUUCUCUGAUGUUAGCGGCGGACGGGUGAGUAACACGUGGAUAACCUACCUAUAAGACUGGGAUAACUUCGGGAAACCGGAGCUAAUACCGGAUAAUAUUUUGAACCGCAUGGUUCAAAAGUAAAAGACGGUCUUGCUGUCACUUAUAGAUGGAUCCGCGCUGCACUAGCUAGUUGGUAAGGUAACGGCUUACCAAGGCAACGAUGCAUAGCCGACCUGAGAGGGUGAUCGGCCACACUGGAACUGAGACACGGUCCAGACUCCUACGGGAGGCAGCAGUAGGGAAUCUUCCGCAAUGGGCGAAAGCCUGACGGAGCAACGCCGCGUGAGUGAUGAAGGUCUUCGGAUCGUAAAACUCUGUUAUUAGGGAAGAACAUAUGUGUAAGUAACUGUGCACAUCUUGACGGUACCUAAUCAGAAAGCCACGGCUAACUACGUG